Molecule: ribosomal RNA, 465 nt
Filed under: uncultured bacterium
Lineage: Bacteria
Description: partial 16S ribosomal RNA
Rfam family: Bacterial small subunit ribosomal RNA
Source: RNAcentral
CCUACGGGGGGCAGCAGUAGGGAAUCUUCCACAAUGGGCGAAAGCCUGAUGGAGCAACGCCGCGUGGGUGAAGAAGGUCUUCGGAUCGUAAAACCCUGUUGUUAGAGAAGAAAGUGCGUGAGAGUAACUGUUCACGUUUCGACGGUAUCUAACCAGAAAGCCACGGCUAAAUACGUGCCAGCAGCCGCGGUAAUACGUAGGUGGCAAGCGUUAUCCGGAUUUAUUGGGCGUAAAGGGAACGCAGGCGGUCUUUUAAGGCUGAUGGGAAAGCCUUCGGCUUAACCGGAGUAGUGCAUUGGAAACUGGGAGACUUGAGUGCAGAAGAGGAGAGUGGAACUCCAUGUGUAGCGGUGAAAUGCGUAGAUAUAUGGAAGAACACCAGUGGCGAAAGCGGCUCUCUGGUCUGUAACUGACGCUGAGGUUCGAAAGCGUGGGUAGCAAACAGGAUUAGAUACCCCUGUAGUC